AGUGGUGUAGGGGUAAAAUCCGUAGAUAUCACUAGGAAUACCGAAAGCGAAGGCGAUCUCCUGGAACAUUACUGACGCUAAGGCGUGAAAGCGUGGGGAGCAAACGGGAUUAGAUACCCCGGUAGUCCACGCCCUAAACGAUGUUCACUAGUCGUCGGGAUGCUAGUCAUCUCGGUGAUGCACUUAACAGAUUAAGUGAACCGCCUGGGGAGUACGGUCGCAAGAUUAAAACUCAAAGGAAUAGACGGGGACCCGCACAAGUGGUGGAGCAUGUGGUUUAAUUCGAAGAUACGCGAAGAACCUUACCUAGCCUUGACAUUGAUAGAAUACACCAGAGAUGGAGUAGUGCCUUUCGGGGAACUUGAAAACAGGUGCUGCACGGCUGUCGUCAGCUCGUGUCGUGAGAUGUUGGGUUAAGUCCCGCAACGAGCGCAACCCUCGUCCUUAGUUGCCAGCAGGUUAAGCUGGGCACUCUAAGGAGACUGCCUUCGUAAGGAGGAGGAAGGUGAGGACGACGUCAAGUCAUCAUGGCCCUUAUGGCUAGGGCUACACACGUGCUACAAUGGGGCGUACAGAGUGUUGCGAUACCGCGAGGUGGAGCUAAUCACUUAAAGCGUCUCUCAGUUCGGAUAGCAGUCUGCAACUCGACUGCUUGAAGCUGGAAUCACUAGUAAUCGUAGAUCAGCAAUGCUACGGUGAAUACGU
Molecule: ribosomal RNA, 705 nt
Filed under: uncultured bacterium
Lineage: Bacteria
Description: bacterial SSU rRNA
Rfam family: Bacterial small subunit ribosomal RNA
Source: RNAcentral